ACGGAAGGCAGCAGUGGGGAAUAUUGGACAAUGGGGGAAACCCUGAUCUAGCGACGCCGCGUGAGUGAAGAAGUAUUUCGGUAUGUAAAGCUCUAUCAGCAAGGAAGAAAAUGACGGUACUUGACUAAGAAGCUCCGGCUAAAUACGUGCCAGCAGCCGCGGUAAUACGUAUGGAGCAAGCGUUAUCCGGAUUUACUGGGUGUAAAGGGAGCGUAGACGGCGAAGCAAGUCUGAAGUGAAAUGCCGGGGCUUAACCCCGGAACUGCUUUGGAAACUGUUUUGCUAGAGUGCAGGAGAGGUAAGCGGAAUUCCUAGUGUAGCGGUGAAAUGCGUAGAUAUUAGGAGGAACACCAGUGGCGAAGGCGGCUUACUGGACUGUAACUGACGUUGAGGCUCGAAAGCGUGGGGAGCAAACAGGAUUAGAUACCCUGGUA
This 434-nucleotide ribosomal RNA is filed under the name uncultured Lachnospiraceae bacterium. Its description in RNAcentral is "partial 16S ribosomal RNA". It matches the Rfam family "Bacterial small subunit ribosomal RNA", at positions 341 to 792 of the family's 1533-position model. Lineage: Bacteria; Bacillati; Bacillota; Clostridia; Lachnospirales; Lachnospiraceae. The record is from RNAcentral.